This 335-nucleotide unclassified non-coding RNA is filed under the name Hevea brasiliensis (rubber tree). Lineage: Eukaryota; Viridiplantae; Streptophyta; Magnoliopsida; Malpighiales; Euphorbiaceae. The record is from RNAcentral.
ACUGUGUUAAUGUCCUUCUUAGCAGCUGUCCAUCCUUCUUGAAAUGAUUGUGGUGUGCCUUCAAGUAGUGUUUUUCGGUUUGGUAUCAUGGGCUGGUACUGUGUUUCACUAGCAUCUUUCAGGGAGCUAUUUGCUAUUGCAUUACUUAUUUUUACUUGUUCAGAAAAGAGUACUUGCACCACUACCCUAAGUGGAAGUCUCUCAUUUUGUGCAGCAUGCAUGCAGGCAUCAAUUGAGAGUUUUUGGCAGUCCAUCACACGGCACAGGCGCUUCCUUUCAUGCUCAGACAGUGUUGGAUGGGCCUUAAGAUAAGAAUCAAUUGCUCGAUAAAGCCC